CUAAUUUGUCACUUCAAGUUCACAUUGACUACCUUUUAAUACAAUUUGUCGUGACCUUAAAUCCCAACCAAUUUUCCGUUGAUUCGGCCCAAUUCCAUUAUCAAUAAAAGAUCCCAUCAGCAAUGCAAUUUUCCAGCAGCAGAAUAAUGUGUACAACAAUACCAAAUAUCCGACCCAGCCUCGUUUUUCUUUUCUUCUUCUUCCUCAACGCGAAUGAACCCAAAAUCUCGAUCCAAAAAAUCAGGCAGGCCCAAAUCGCAAGCCAGUCCAGCAAAUCGACCCGAAAGUACUGUGUGGUUCCUUUGUUUUCUUCCUCAACGUCCCUAUCUUCGUACAUAUGCAGCAGCAAAGCAGUAUUGCCUUGUCCUCGCCAGUGUGAGAUCGCGCCACAUCGAUGCUUCUAGGACUGAGGACUGAUUAUGACCGCUUGCGUCCUUAUUUGCUUUUAGUCUUUUCCUGGAAAUUUGGCUUUUGGUACAAGAGACAGUUGUCUCCCCGUCCCUUGGGGGAGAAAUUUGAACUGAAAUUGGGUGGGGGUUCCAAUUUUUCCCUUCAUCUUUCCCCCUCAAUUUCGACCUAAUUUCACCUCUAUAUAAAACCUCUCUUCUCAUCCGUAAUGGAGGUUAUGUUUCAGCUGGAAAAAUUCAGUGUUAGGAGAAGUCAGUGGAGAUUUUGAGUCUUAAAUUUUUAAGGAAGAAAAAGUGCUAGUAACGUUAAGAAAAUAUUAGCCAGGAAUUAUAUUUUCGCUCGAGGCUCAAAGUUGUGGAUGGGAGAUCGUGACUCUGCUCGUUCUUGUCUCCUUCGCUGCCCUAGAAGAGAAUAAGUUCCUAAAAGGCGUACAGGUCCCGAAGUGAAGGAGAUCGAAGUGGAGGAAGUCGAAGAGAGUGGUCUAUAGAUGCCUAAAUUUAUUUCUUGAAGUUCUGUAUUUUGUUAUUUUUGGGCUUCAGCCCUUGUGCUUUUUAUUAUUUAUUGUUGUUGUUAGUUUUUAGGACAGGUAACAUUGAAGUGGGCCAAAACCCAAAACAAAAUGGGUCCAAAUACCGGUCUAGGCGGACAGAAAUCGAAUCUGGGCCCAAUUGAACUCUC
Solanum pennellii is the source of this 1086-nucleotide long non-coding RNA. RefSeq lists it as uncharacterized. Lineage: Eukaryota; Viridiplantae; Streptophyta; Magnoliopsida; Solanales; Solanaceae. The transcript has 2 exons. The record is from RefSeq and is a predicted model, not a curated record.